This is a long non-coding RNA of Syngnathus acus (greater pipefish), 2524 nucleotides long. RefSeq lists it as uncharacterized. NCBI's taxonomy places the organism in Eukaryota, Metazoa, Chordata, Actinopteri, Syngnathiformes, Syngnathidae. The transcript is spliced from 4 exons. The record is from RefSeq and is a predicted model, not a curated record.
GUCCUCGCCAAGCCGCCGCUCACCAGCGUGGCUCGGCCUUCGGAGUCCUUGACGCAUUCACACUGUUGUCCUGCUGCGCAAGUGUCACAGUUGUCGGUGUCAGUCCCCCGCCCUGGUGCUUGUCCUUCUGCAGUGGAGCUGUGUUUAGCUGCAGGCCGACGUCUAUCAGUCUCGGGGACCUGUACCAUCUUCUGCAUAGUUCCUGACACCUUAGACCCCAACUGUGUUGCAGAUCUGGAUGACAAAUCCUGAUUUUGAGAUGCAGCUUUCCUCAGAUCAGACAGAUUUGUACGAGUUGCAUCCACUAGAGAAUGUAUCCGUGGUUCACGUGUGUUGCUGUUUUUCAGGUAUGUCAAAACAUGAGACACUUGAGAUGUUCCAUUUGUUUUUGUGUCAUCAUUAGGUGGGAUCGCAGCCCUUUCCUGCCUCGAUUGCCCUUGUAGGUCUUGCCUGUUUCUGGUCCUUGGGGUGGGACCUUUCUCGGCCUCGAUCCCUCCUUUAAACCAUGAUGAGAUUAUCUGCUCACAGCAUUGCCUCACAGUCUCCUGCGGAUUUGCAUAAACAGAUGCUUACAAACAUCUCCCUGAGGUAAAGAAAAAAAAAAGGUUAGACUCAAACCUUGGUCUUUGUAUGACGUCCCUCUCGACGUGUGUGUUCAUGUUGCUCUGUAGCGCGUGUCAACAGGAAGUUGUAGUUGCCACUGAUGUGACUACUCGAGGUCGUCGUGCUCUGCAGCCAAUGGCAAACAUCUGAAGAAGCCGCAGUGGAAAGUUCCAACGUUCUCCCCCAAGACACCAAGGCUACAGGCUGAAUACACACAUAAUACAGAAUUGUUCUUCCAUGAAUUGCAAACUCUAACCUUGGAUCACCUCUUACCAUGGAUUUGCUGAGCUGUGGGUGAGGAGUGAUGAUGUAGUCGAGAAGACAUGAGCGGGCAAGGAUGGACACCAACGGACGCUCGCUGAAGGCUGCGCAGGGAUGGUAGAGCAAUAUGGCAGCUCCUUGCUGCAUAACAGCUGGAUUAAAAGUGGGUCGAUUGGUCAUGCCUGGUAUGCAGGUGAGAAAGAUGUCAAGCAUGCAAAGGUACAGAUUGAAGAGCUGCUGUAUCCAUGGUUACCUGAGUGGAGUUUAACCAAGCAGCGGGAGCAGGACAGCUCCAGUCGAUGGCAUCUGCAGGUAGAUCCCUUUCCACAAGCAACUAUACAAACAUCAAAUAUGAGAUGUCAAUCGGUGCAACAAGCAUCAUCUUUGGAAAAUAUAAUAACAAAACAAAUCUGAACCUUUCCAUUAUCACAAUCUGGCCUCAGAUAAUCGCAGAAGACGUGUCGGCCAAAACAGAACCACAGUGCGGCCAGCACGGACAUCGUGUGGCUCGGCAUGCUGAGUCGUAAGUCAUCAGGGUGCAAGAAAGAACGCCAUGAAGUCAGGCUACUGCAGCUAUGAAAAUAAAAUGAAAGCAAGUUUUGGAACCUCGAAACACAUGCAAAAGAUUGGUGCAAUUAAACAGACAAACAAAAAAAUCAAUGUACCGUGCUGAUCUCGUCAACUCUAUUUAUCUGUUUCAGGCGGUGGGCGACAUUCUUCUACUUUGUAAGCCAUACAAAGAGAAGUAUUUUGAAUGACAGCGUCACCAAUUCCGAAAAAAAAAAUCACGAUUGCAAAGUCAAAACGGAAGUACGAUUAUCCUUUCAACGUAAAAUACAAUGCUCCUAAACUAUAUAUAUUUUAACAUUAUUAUGCAUGAUAUUAAUGUUUUAUGAAACUAAAAUUAGUUAGCACAAUGUUCAAGUACAUUUGAUGGAAUCAAUCGAAUUCCUGUUUUAUGAUUAUCAUAUUUGCUUUUUACUCUGAAAAUAUGCUUGCAAUUUUGGAGUCUCCGUUGUUGAUCUUGACAACUCCGUCUUUUUUUCAUUUGUUAUUACAUAUUUACAUCCGUUUACUUGGCUCCUCAUGCAUCAUUUAUAACCCGUAGAAAUUACGUCAUUUUCUUGAUAUACUUCAUCUUUGAGACGCUCUUGCAAUUAAUAAAAUAACACAAGCCCCAUAAAUGUCGCAUAUGUUUUAUGGGAUCGUUUUGGAGCCACUUUAAGAUUUUGAUCGUUUGUAUACGAAUAAAUAAACAUAUAAUUAUAUUUCAUCCAACUUUCGUGCAGGAACUGCAUUUCCAGAUUUGAUGCAGAACUUGAAACAUCCGCUACGAGGCGCAACAACAUCAGUUUGUGAGCUUUGUUUGAGACCACCGGAUCCUCCAAACUAGUCCAAGACUUGCGUGUUUAUCUCCUCAAAUGAGUAAUGUUGUGCUUGAAUAGUUAAGAAACCAAUCUGUAUUGUUUUGUCAACUGAAUAGGUGGCAUUUCCUGUUGCAGACAGCUAUAAUCUUGUCACUACGACUACGGGUAGUGGAACAAGCAUUACCUGUUGGCACAGGAAAUACAGUCACGAGUAUAUAUGGUAUUAUCCGUGGUAUAUUAACUUUCUUGAUAAUUAAACAAUAAUAAUUGGUCAAAUGUUGAUUUAUUUUGAA